UUGCCCUCAAGGACAUGCAUAAAAAGCUAACCGGGCAUGGCAACAUACAGAAAAACGAAGCAAGCAGGAAAAGAGCAGAUCUACCCACUGGGUCUGGAGACCUGGCUGGCAGUGGAGGCUCAGCUAGCAAGCCAAGACACAUUGUUCAAGAUAGUUAAGACAGUUCUACCUAUAAUUCAGACAGCCAGGCAUCUAUGGUGUAGGAGUGAGGCAACGUAGAAGGAGAGAAUCAAGGAAGAAGUUUAGAGUCAAAUCAUCCCAGCUUACUAAUAAGCAAGAAGUCAGCCCAUUUGCCCAUUAUCCUGCAACAGUCCCCAAGGCAUCCUCUCUGUCCUUAAAUAAAUAGAUCCAAAGCAAGAUGAAUGAAUGGUUCAGGGAAAGAUAAAUAUCUCCAGAAAAAUGCAAUAAAGAGAAAUUUUGAGCCAA
RNAcentral lists this non-coding RNA (426 nucleotides) under Pongo abelii (Sumatran orangutan). The record is from RNAcentral. Lineage: Eukaryota; Metazoa; Chordata; Mammalia; Primates; Hominidae.